UGCUCUCACCCUACGCAGCCAUUUCCGUUUUAAUUUCCUCCGCGUUCACAGUGCACACUACAUGCACUUAACACGACAUGGGUACUAACCGACUCCGUAAAUAGUCUUGAAUUAUGUGAGAAUUACAAACAGAGCAAGUCAAAUCUACAUUUGAAUUAAUCAAUCAAUGGAGGCUUUGUGGGCGCAAUUGCCCAUUUCGACUUUAGCAAGUAUUUUGAAGAAACAUGUUGGGAGAAUUCAAUAUUUAAUGUUACGGAAGUGUAGAUUCUUACAAUCUUUGAAAUAUAGAUUCAAGGUGUUGUUGACAAAAGAAAAUAGAUUUAACUCUUGAAAGCACCCAUGGUUGGUUCCAGUUCAUAAGAUUCAUCUAAACAGGUGUUGACACUUCUCCGCAGCUUCUCUGCAAAACAUUCUUCUUCUGGAGAAGUAUAAGUUCUUUGACACAUCUAUAUAUCUCUUUAUACACAUACGUUUUUGCAAAGGAAAUUGGUGGGCGAUGAGGUAGUAAGGAACUAUGCAUUACCUUCUAAUUCCAGUGAAAGUGUCAUAUCUCUAGAAGUUGAACGCACAAUUUGGGUAUGAGUUGACAACUGCAUGCACAAUUUGGGUAUGAGUUGACAAAUAUUGAAUGCAGAGGCGGAACUCGGAUUUCAAUUUGUGCAUAGUGUAUGGCCAUUUGGAUACUACAAGGAUUGCAUACAAUACUAAAUGAUGAUUGUGUGAUGAUAUAAGGAGUUUGAUCAACCGAGGGGCACGGCCUUGUAGUGGAUGAAGUUGGCGAAAACCAUAGGAGACCACGGUUAAAAUACUUGCAGCGACACUAAAAGUAAGUUGCACCCCUAAGUGUGUCAGGCAACUAAAGGAUUAUCAAACAUGUACGAAAAGGAUAGAAGGUGAUGAAUUUUGACACAGGACAGUAUUUUGAUUAUUGGCACUACAUUGACAAAUAUGUUGUUGCCAAUUACUAAGCAAUUGACCAUCUCAAGUUACAAAGGGAUAUAAGUUGUUGAUCAUUGUUAUUUUAUGUUGCCUUUUCACUGUGGCAUAAGGCAAUACCAUAUAUUCCUUCCUGUGCUACAGACUCGCAAUCCCUCAAUCAACUUGGUUUCUCCGUGAGUUUUUUUUAACUAUGCAUAUCUUAAAAAGUGACUAAUAAAUAGUGGACAGGAAGAUCGAUGUGAGGUUCCUAGUUUUAGACAGGAAGUUAAAGUGUGAUACAUUUUUUAUUCGAAAUGCGUUUGUAUCUCCGUUGUUAUCAUCACAAUUAAUAUUCAUAACGAACAACAUGAAAAAUCUA
Molecule: long non-coding RNA, 1297 nt
Organism: Capsicum annuum
Lineage: Eukaryota; Viridiplantae; Streptophyta; Magnoliopsida; Solanales; Solanaceae
Exons: 6
Source: RefSeq, a predicted model, not a curated record